RNAcentral lists this transfer RNA (86 nucleotides) under Fusibacter tunisiensis. RNAcentral describes it as "tRNA-Leu". It matches the Rfam family "tRNA". Rfam says of the family: Transfer RNA (tRNA) molecules are approximately 80 nucleotides in length. Their secondary structure includes four short double-helical elements and three loops (D, anti-codon, and T loops). Further hydrogen bonds mediate the characteristic L-shaped molecular structure. tRNAs have two regions of fundamental functional importance: the anti-codon, which is responsible for specific mRNA codon recognition, and the 3' end, to which the tRNAs corresponding amino acid is attached (by aminoacyl-tRNA synthetases). tRNAs cope with the degeneracy of the genetic code in two manners: having more than one tRNA (with a specific anti-codon) for a particular amino acid; and 'wobble' base-pairing, i.e. permitting non-standard base-pairing at the 3rd anti-codon position. Lineage: Bacteria; Bacillati; Bacillota; Clostridia; Eubacteriales; Fusibacteraceae. The record is from RNAcentral. RNAcentral also lists the same sequence under 4 other names.
GCAGGUGUGGUGGAAUGGCAGACACGCUAGAUUCAGGUUCUAGUGAAGGCAACUUCAUGCAGGUUCAAGUCCUGUCACCUGCACCA